RNAcentral lists this ribosomal RNA (442 nucleotides) under uncultured Methanosaeta sp. Its description in RNAcentral is "bacterial SSU rRNA". It matches the Rfam family "Archaeal small subunit ribosomal RNA", at positions 896 to 1338 of the family's 1478-position model. The record is from RNAcentral. Lineage: Archaea; Methanobacteriati; Methanobacteriota; Methanomicrobia; Methanotrichales; Methanotrichaceae.
UGCGGUUUAAUUGGAUUCAACGCCGGAAAUCUCACCGGGGCGACAGCAAUAUGAAGGUCAGGCUGAAGACCUUACCCGAUUAGCUGAGAGGUGGUGCAUGGCCGUCGUCAGUUCGUACUGUGAAGCAUCCUGUUAAGUCAGGCAACGAGCGAGACCCACGUCCACAGUUGCCAGCAUACCCUCCGGGGUGAUGGGUACACUGUGGAGACCGCCGCUGCUAAAGCGGAGGAAGGAGUGGGCAACGGUAGGUCAGUAUGCCCCGAAUCUCCCGGGCUACACGCGGGCUACAAUGGUUGGUACAAUGGGCAUCUACCCCGAAAGGGGAAGGAAAUCUCUUAAAGCCAAUCGUAGUUCGGAUUGAGGGCUGCAACUCGCCCUCAUGAAGCUGGAAUCCGUAGUAAUCGCGUUUCAACAGAACGCGGUGAAUACGUCCCUGCUCCUU